This 78-nucleotide transfer RNA is filed under the name Odoribacter splanchnicus. It matches the Rfam family "tRNA". From Rfam's summary of the family: Transfer RNA (tRNA) molecules are approximately 80 nucleotides in length. Their secondary structure includes four short double-helical elements and three loops (D, anti-codon, and T loops). The record is from RNAcentral. RNAcentral also lists the same sequence under 1 other name. Lineage: Bacteria; Pseudomonadati; Bacteroidota; Bacteroidia; Bacteroidales; Odoribacteraceae.
CAGGUGGCGGAAUUGGUAGACGCGCUGGACUCAAAAUCCAGUGUCCUCAACAGACGUGCGGGUUCGAUUCCCGCCCUG